GACUCAAUGGUUCAAUGGUAAAGCCUUCGCAGCGGAGCCAGAGGGUCCUGGGUUCGAUCCCCGAUGGUGUCG
Molecule: transfer RNA, 72 nt
Filed under: Schistosoma japonicum
Lineage: Eukaryota; Metazoa; Platyhelminthes; Trematoda; Strigeidida; Schistosomatidae
Description: tRNA-OTHER
Source: RNAcentral